RNAcentral lists this ribosomal RNA (460 nucleotides) under uncultured bacterium. RNAcentral describes it as "partial 16S ribosomal RNA". It matches the Rfam family "Bacterial small subunit ribosomal RNA", at positions 338 to 795 of the family's 1533-position model. The record is from RNAcentral.
CCUACGGGUGGCAGCAGUGAGGAAUAUUGGUCAAUGGGCGCGAGCCUGAACCAGCCAAGUAGCGUGAGGGAUGACUGCCCUAUGGGUUGUAAACUUCUUUUAUAAAGGAAUAAAGUGAGGCACGUGUGCCUUUUUGUAUGUACUUUAUGAAUAAGGAUCGGCCAACCCCGUGCCAGCAGCCGCGGUAAUACGGAGGAACCGUGCGUUAUCCGGAUUUAUUGGGUUUAAAGGGAGCGUAGAUGGGUUGUUAAGUCAGUCGUGAAAGUUUGCGGCUCAACCGUAGAAUUGCCAUUGAUACUGGCAGUCUUGAGUACAGUAGAGGUAGGCGGAAUUCGUGGUGUAGCGGUGAAAUGCUUAGAUAUCACGAAGAACUCCGAUUGCGAAGGCAGCUUACUAGACUGCCACUGACAUUGAGGCUCGAAAGUGUGGGUAUCAAACAGGAUUAGAUACCCGAGUAGUC